GAAAAUUCCUGUCGUGUAUCUCCUCCAGAGCCUCCAGAUACAACAGACAGACUGAUGUGAGCUGAACCUUGGAAUUUGACUUGAAGUGGGCUGGUCUUGGCAUUCUUUACUUCAGGCUGCUGAGGCAGCACUCGUGAGGAAACUUUGUCAUUGUACCUCGAGGGGAGUGGGAUUUCCUUGAGAAACACCUAUGAGGUCAUACUUGGGCCGUGCCGGACAAAGAACUCUCCCCAGAGGAACACGCUGUCCGAACAAGCACAACCACUACUUGACAUUGUCCUCAAAACAUAUACAGCUCGAAGAACAUUAUAUGAAAGGACGUUCCUCGGACACCCAUUGAGCUGUGGGACCUGAGCUGUCAGACAGGUUAAUGGACCAAGAGCACAUAAGAUUGAGUCCAGAAGAACAGAAAGACUGCCAGAGACCGCUACCAUCCCCUAAAGGAUGAAGAUGAGAUGAAGUGGGAGGGGCCAUGGCAUACAUCCCACCAGAGGAGCUGUGAUUGGACGAGCUGUGAGAAUGGGAGUGGCUUCUAGACUGAUCCCCUGAUUAACAAAAACAAAUUUAAGUGCGUGUAAGAGUCGUCGAUCACCAGCUCGCCGGCCUCCAGUUCGCCUCCAGACGAUGAGCUGUCUCCUCUCGCCCCGCCGAAAGAGCCGCCAUAAUGACCUAAUACAAUAAAAACCUGCUUAGGACGUGUUUGAUGCGGCGCAUAAGCAUAACACAUUUAAAUAUGCAAAGUUGCAACAUUCUUAGGCAACGGCUCUCGACUGUGCUGUUUCUUCUUUGGUGGCUUUGAUGAUCUGUCUUUCUCCUUCUCCUUCUUCAUCACUACUUUCUUCGAGCCGGA
Non-coding RNA from Paramisgurnus dabryanus, 850 nucleotides. Lineage: Eukaryota; Metazoa; Chordata; Actinopteri; Cypriniformes; Cobitidae. The record is from RefSeq and is a predicted model, not a curated record.